GUGCCCGCAAGCCGCGGUAAUACGAACGGGGGCUAGCCGCUUGCCUCGGGAAUUACCUGGCCCGUAAAGGGGCGCCGUAGGCCACUCAUUUAAGUCCAGGGGUGAAAUCCCAGAGCUCAACUCUGGAACUGCCUUUGAUACUGGGUGUCUUGAGUGUGAGAGAGGUAUGUGGAACUCCGAGUGUAGAGGUGAAAUUCGUAGAUAUUCGGAAGAACACCAGUGGCGAAGGCGACAUACUGGCUCAUUACUGACGCUGAGGCGCGAAAGCGUGGGGAGCAAACAGGAUUAGAUACCCUGGUAGUCC
This 304-nucleotide ribosomal RNA is filed under the name uncultured microorganism. RNAcentral describes it as "bacterial SSU rRNA". It matches the Rfam family "Bacterial small subunit ribosomal RNA", at positions 505 to 796 of the family's 1533-position model. The record is from RNAcentral.